Molecule: regulatory RNA element, 108 nt
Organism: Ruminococcus sp. CAG:579
Lineage: Bacteria; Bacillati; Bacillota; Clostridia; Eubacteriales; Oscillospiraceae
Rfam family: SAM riboswitch aptamer (S box leader)
About the family: The SAM riboswitch is found upstream of a number of genes which code for proteins involved in methionine or cysteine biosynthesis in Gram-positive bacteria. The SAM riboswitch acts at the level of transcription termination control. The predicted structure consists of a complex stem-loop region followed by a single stem loop terminator region.
Source: Rfam
GCCUUAUCAAGAGCGGCGGAGGAACAGGUCCUGUGAAGCCCGGCAACCUAACGGUAAAACAGCCGAAAAGGUGCUAAUUCCUGCGGAUAACAGUCCGGAAGAUGAGGA